Chelonoidis abingdonii (Abingdon island giant tortoise) is the source of this 1008-nucleotide non-coding RNA. Lineage: Eukaryota; Metazoa; Chordata; Testudines; Testudinidae. The record is from RefSeq and is a predicted model, not a curated record.
AGAUUUCAAAGCCAUGUAUAGAAGUAAAGAGAAUAUUUUAAUUCCUUAACGGGCUUGAGAAUAGUUAUUCAUUAGUGCAGUCAGUAAAAGUUAGAAGGUACUGGUCGUGCAGUAGAAUUUUUCACUAUAAAGCUUCUUGCAUGAAUUUAAACCCCUUCCUUCUCACCAUAUACUUUUAUUUUCAAUUUUAAGGACUAAUAUACCAAUGAGAACACUGAUGCAGUCAAAUUUUGAGAGUAGGAGGAAGCACAGAUUGAAAGGGAUAGAUACUGAUGUUGCAAUAGUAGCUAAACCAGUACACAGUUUUACAAAUAAAUAGUUACACUGGGAAACCGUAACUGCAGAUUAAGAACAUACAGUGCCUCACAGUGUAUUUGUACUUAUAGAAUGUCAUAAGCAUGUGGGAUUCUCAAAGGUUUGGUCAUUAUAUUUCUACUCAAGUAGUUUACAAUACAAGUUGUCCACAGACAAAGGGACAGGUCUAUGGAGGAUGAAGGUUGUAACUGUGAAAUAUUACAAAAUGUGGUUUGUAUUAUACCCAUUUUUAAUGCUUUGUUUGUAUUUUUAAUUAAUUCAUAUAAUAUAGUUUGUAGGUUACAUCCAAAAUGAAGUUCACAGGGAGUGGAGGUCAGUUGCUGAAUGCUGACCAAAAUGGGUGAGUUUUGAGGGAUUUGAGAUGCACAGGGUCAGGAAAGACAUUCCAGCAUAGGAGACUGAAAGAAGGCAUGGAAUAACUUGUAGAAAAGUACAGAAACAGCCUCAAGUAUAAAUAAGCACUUGGGUUAUGAGCUGGGGAGUAGGAAACUAGGUGUCAGAAGGGCCUUGAAGCUGCAAGGAUGGAAGAUUUUGAACAUGAUAUAAGUCAGCAUUGCAUGGCAAUGCAAGAACUUGGUGAUGAGGGCUAGAUGGUCAAAACAGCCAAUAAUGAUUUUUUCUAGUGGCAAUGUGUUUAUAUAGCAUUCAUCCCUCUGGACAAACACACAAAGACAAACCAACCCCCCCACCCAA